This 425-nucleotide ribosomal RNA is filed under the name uncultured bacterium. RNAcentral's name for it is "partial 16S ribosomal RNA". It matches the Rfam family "Bacterial small subunit ribosomal RNA", at positions 354 to 796 of the family's 1533-position model. The record is from RNAcentral.
GUGGGGAAUAUUGGACAAUGGGCGCAAGCCUGAUCCAGCCAUGCCGCGUGAGUGAUGAAGGCCCUAGGGUUGUAAAGCUCUUUCACCGAUGAAGAUAAUGACGGUAGUCGGAGAAGAAGCCCCGGCUAACUUCGUGCCAGCAGCCGCGGUAAUACGAAGGGGGCUAGCGUUGUUCGGAAUUACUGGGCGUAAAGCGCACGUAGGCGGAUAUUUAAGUCAGGGGUGAAAUCCCAGAGCUCAACUCUGGAACUGCCUUUGAUACUGGGUAUCUCGAGUAUGGAAGAGGUGAGUGGAAUUCCGAGUGUAGAGGUGAAAUUCGUAGAUAUUCGGAGGAACACCAGUGGCGAAGGCGGCUCACUGGUCCAUUACUGACGCUGAGGUGCGAAAGCGUGGGGAGCAAACAGGAUUAGAUACCCCUGUAGUCC